Molecule: unclassified non-coding RNA, 352 nt
Filed under: soil metagenome
Description: partial contains 5.8S ribosomal RNA, internal transcribed spacer 2, and large subunit ribosomal RNA
Rfam family: 5.8S ribosomal RNA (bases 1-120)
Source: RNAcentral
GAUGAAGAACGUAGCGAAAUGCGAUAAGUAAUGUGAAUUGCAGAAUUCAGUGAAUCAUCGAGUCUUUGAACGCACAUUGCGCCCCCUGGUAUUCCGGGGGGCAUGCCUGUCCGAGCGUCAUUGCCGCCCUCAAGCACGGCUUGUGUGUUGGGCCCCCGCCCCCCGGCUUCGGGGGGCGGGCCCGAAAGGCAGCGGCGGCACCGCGUCCGGUCCUCGAGCGUAUGGGGCUUCGUCACCCGCUCUGUAGGCCCGGCCGGGCGCCAGCCGGCGUCUCCAACCUUCUAUUUUACCAGGUUGACCUCGGAUCAGGUAGGGAUACCCGCUGAACUUAAGCAUAUCAAUAAGCGGAGGA